UACGAAGGAUCCAAGCGUUAUCCGGAUUUAUUGGGUUUAAAGGGUGCGUAGGUGGGCUAUUAAGUCAGUGGUGAAAGCUUCCCGCUUAACGGGAAAAUUGCCAUUGAUACUGAUGGUCUUGAGUGCAUUUGAAGUGGGCGGAAUGUGUCGUGUAGUGGUGAAAUACUUAGAUAUGACACAGAACACCAAUUGCGAAGGCAGCUCACUAAACUGUAACUGACACUGAGGCACGAAAGCGUGGGGAUCAAACAGG
Molecule: ribosomal RNA, 253 nt
Filed under: uncultured bacterium
Lineage: Bacteria
Description: partial 16S ribosomal RNA
Rfam family: Bacterial small subunit ribosomal RNA
Source: RNAcentral